CCUACGGGAGGCAGCAGUAGGGAAUCUUCCACAAUGGGCGAAAGCCUGAUGGAGCAACGCCGCGUGGGUGAAGAAGGUCUUCGGAUCGUAAAACUCUGUUGUUAGAGAAGAAAGUGCGUGAGAGUAACUGUUCACGUUUCGACGGUAUCUAACCAGAAAGCCACGGCUAACUACGUGCCAGCAGCCGCGGGAAUACGUAGGUGGCAAGCGUUAUCCGGAUUUAUUGGGCGUAAAAGGAACGCAGGCGGUCUUUUAAGUCUGAUGUGAAAGCCUUCGGCUUAACCGGAGUAGUGCAUUGGAAACUGGGAGACUUGAGUGCAGAAGAGGAGAGUGGAACUCCAGGUGUAGCGGUGAAAUGCGUAGAUAUAUGGAAGAACACCAGUGGCGAAAGCGGCUCUCUGGUCUGUAACUGACGCUGAGGUUCGAAAGCGUGGGUAGCAAACAGGAUUAGAUACCCUGGUAGUC
This 465-nucleotide ribosomal RNA is filed under the name uncultured bacterium. RNAcentral's name for it is "partial 16S ribosomal RNA". It matches the Rfam family "Bacterial small subunit ribosomal RNA", at positions 338 to 795 of the family's 1533-position model. The record is from RNAcentral.